CACGUAGGGUGCGAGCGUUGUCCGGAAUUAUUGGGCGUAAAGAGCUCGUAGGCGGUGUGUCGCGUCGGCCGUGAAAACCUGCAGCUUAACUGUGGGCUUGCGGUCGAUACGGGCAUCACUGGAGUUCGGCAGGGGAGACUGGAAUUCCUGGUGUAGCGGUGAAAUGCGCAGAUAUCAGGAGGAACACCGGUGGCGAAGGCGGGUCUCUGGGCCGAUACUGACGCUGAGGCGCGAAAGCCAGGGAGGCGAACGGG
This 254-nucleotide ribosomal RNA is filed under the name uncultured bacterium. RNAcentral's name for it is "partial 16S ribosomal RNA". It matches the Rfam family "Bacterial small subunit ribosomal RNA", at positions 524 to 776 of the family's 1533-position model. The record is from RNAcentral.